This 433-nucleotide ribosomal RNA is filed under the name uncultured bacterium. Its description in RNAcentral is "partial 16S ribosomal RNA". It matches the Rfam family "Bacterial small subunit ribosomal RNA", at positions 29 to 508 of the family's 1533-position model. The record is from RNAcentral.
AACGAACGCUGGCGGCAUGCCUAACACAUGCAAGUCGAGCGAAGCCUUCGGGCUUAGUGGCGCACGGGUGCGUAACGCGUGGGAAUCUGCCCCUUGCUUCGGAAUAACAGUUAGAAAUGACUGCUAAUACCGGAUGAAGUCUUCGGACCAAAGAUUUAUCGGCAAGGGAUGAGCCCGCGUAGGAUUAGGUAGUUGGUGGGGUAAAGGCCUACCAAGCCGACGAUCCUUAGCUGGUCUGAGAGGAUGAUCAGCCACACUGGGACUGAGACACGGCCCAGACCCCUAGGGAGGGCAGCGGGGGGGAAUAUGGAAAAAGGGACGCAAGUCGAACCAAGAAUUGCCGGGGGGGGGGUAAGGCCUUUAGGGUUGAAAAGCUUUUUUACAGGGAAUGAUAAGGAAAGUCCCGGGGAAAAAGGCCCGGGCAAACCCCGGC